Molecule: ribosomal RNA, 525 nt
Filed under: uncultured bacterium
Lineage: Bacteria
Description: partial 16S ribosomal RNA
Rfam family: Bacterial small subunit ribosomal RNA
Source: RNAcentral
AGCAGUGGGGAAUAUUGGACAAUGGGGGCAAGCCUGAUCCAGCCAUACCGCGUGGGUGAAGAAGGCCUUCGGGUUGUAAAGCCCUUUUGUUGGGAAAGAAAACCAACGGGUUAAUACCCGGGGGGGAUGACGGUACCCAAAGAAAAAGCCCCGGCUAAAUUCGUGCCAGCAGCCGCGGUAAUACGAAGGGGGCAAGCGUUUUUCGGAAUUAUUGGGGGUAAAGCGCGCGUAGGGGGUCGUUUAAGUCUGAUGUGAAAACCCCCGGCUCAACCUGGGAAAUGCACUUGAAACUGGGGGACUAGAGUGUGGGAGAGGGGAGUGGAAUUCCCGGUGUAGCGGUGAAAAGUGUAGAGAUCUGGAGGAACACCCCUGGGGAAGGCGGCUCCCUGGACCAACACUGACACUGAGGCACGAAAGCGUGGGGAGCAAACAGGAUUAGAUACCCCGGUAGUCCACGCCCUAAACGAUGAGAACUGGAUGUUGGGGGCAAUUUGCCCCUCAGUAUCGAAGCUAACGCGUUAAGUA